Amphibalanus amphitrite is the source of this 997-nucleotide long non-coding RNA. RefSeq lists it as uncharacterized. Lineage: Eukaryota; Metazoa; Arthropoda; Thecostraca; Balanomorpha; Balanidae. The transcript has 3 exons. The record is from RefSeq and is a predicted model, not a curated record.
CCUUCAACCAGCGGAGUCACGCCAUCUUCCAGCCUACCAGCCGUACUACUCAAACUACGAACGUCAACAGGGAAGGCAGAAUGUCGAGAAGGAACGGGAUCCCUAUGAACGGUAUCUACCACGAGAAGACGACAAUGAUCCCUAUUUCAGGUACGCCCCAAGGGAGGACAUUCAGCACUACCACGGAGGCGCAGAAAAUAUAGGAGCAGCCAGACAGGAGCACAUACAACAUGACCUCUACGGGUCAGCACCGGGUCAAAGAUACCUCAAAAGAAAACUCGAAGGUUACAACAAGGCUACUACUGACUAUGUUUAUGACGAAUAUGACAGCGCUGGUCGCCAAGAAACCAACUAUCCAAGUCCAACGAACGAUUAUUAUUACAACUACGACUGCAGUGAAUAUCCUCCUAGAAACCCAACCAGAAAACAACCCGACUACAAUUACGAAAAUCAACGGGACACUGGUAGCCAUAGCAAUCGUCGCCAUGGUGACGGUCGUCAUGGCAACGGUCGUCAGGACAACGGACGUGGAAACAGAUAUGCGUACGAUGAGCGAGGCGGGAAAAGAGGCUAGGGGUGGCAUAUAGUUGCAGUAAUGCAGUACGCAAUCGUGCAUGAGUAAAAGAUGCGAUGUGACCUUAGAAAGGUGGCAAGGCAAGAGCUUCCGUUGAAGCUCAUAGCUGUGUUUAACUUGUGAGGCCGUUAGUGUUACAAUGGUGACAGGAUGGUUAAGUCAUAUGUGUGUGUUAUCCUAUAGGGUGGAAUUGUUCACGGAUUUUGUGUAUCGUUAUGAUGUUCUGUCAAGCAUAGGGAGCUUCAUGGAUUUUUCUUUUUAAUAUGCAGGAUAGUCGCAAGACGCUAGUGUGACAUGAAGAAAUAGCGGCAUGUUGAUGGCAAUAUCGUUUUGUUGGGCUUGUUUAAUACACAUUUAUUCCGAUGACGAUAUCUUCUGACAGAAUCAUGAACGUGCGGUGAAUAUAAUUGCUGCCAAGUUAAA